CUACGGGGUGCUGCAGUGGGGAAUAUUGCACAAUGGAGGAAACUCUGAUGCAGCAACGCCGCGUGGAGGAUGACACUUUUCGGAGCGUAAACUCCUUUUAUAUAGGAAGAUAAUGACGGUACUAUAUGAAUAAGCACCGGCUAACUCCGUGCCAGCAGCCGCGGUAAUACGGAGGGUGCAAGCGUUACUCGGAAUCGCUGGGCGUAAAGAGCGUGUAGGCGGGUUAAUAAGUCAGAAGUGAAAUCCUAUGGCUCAACCAUAGAACUGCUUUUGAAACUGUUAACCUAGAAUAUGGGAGAGGUAGAUGGAAUUUCUGGUGUAGGGGUAAAAUCCGUAGAGAUCAGAAGGAAUACCGAUUGCGAAGGCGAUCUACUGGAACAUUAUUGACGCUGAGACGCGAAAGCGUGGGGAGCAAACAGGAUUAGAUACCCUCGUAGUC
Molecule: ribosomal RNA, 439 nt
Filed under: uncultured bacterium
Lineage: Bacteria
Description: partial 16S ribosomal RNA
Rfam family: Bacterial small subunit ribosomal RNA
Source: RNAcentral